GCCGCCCCCUUCCUCCUCCACACCACCUUUUCUCCCUUCCAUGCCCUGAUUCUUCCUUCUAGAUCAGAUCUAGAGAGAGGCCUUAGAGAGAGAAAAAAAAAUCAAAAAGUAGUUCUUGAUAUUUCUUUGUAGUUAGGAUCAAUCCCUAGGAUCCACCAACAGGACUGCUUCAAGUAAUACAAGGAUAAGGGUCCUAAUCCAAGCCGAAGAAUGAAGCCUGCC
Molecule: long non-coding RNA, 222 nt
Filed under: Elaeis guineensis (African oil palm)
Lineage: Eukaryota; Viridiplantae; Streptophyta; Magnoliopsida; Arecales; Arecaceae
Description: long non-coding RNA (EGUI_LNC027608)
Source: RNAcentral